This 469-nucleotide ribosomal RNA is filed under the name uncultured bacterium. RNAcentral's name for it is "bacterial SSU rRNA". It matches the Rfam family "Bacterial small subunit ribosomal RNA", at positions 28 to 507 of the family's 1533-position model. The record is from RNAcentral.
GAUGAACGCUAGCUACAGGCUUAACACAUGCAAGUCGAGGGGCAGCAUGACAAAGCUUGCUUUGUUUGAUGGCGACCGGCGCACGGGUGCGUAACACGUAUCCAAUCUGCCCGCGGCUCGGGGAUAGCCCAUCGAAAGAUGGAUUAAUACCCGAUGGCGUGGUCACUCCGCAUGGGGUUUCCACUAAAGGUAUUCCGGCCGCGGAUGAGGAUGCGUAUGAUUAGGUAGUAGGCGGGGUAACGGCCCACCAAGGCGACGAUCAGUAGCCGGCCUGAGAGGGUGAACGGCCACAUUGGGACUGAGACACGGCCCAAACUCCUACGGGAGGCAGCAGUGGGGAAUAUUGGACAAUGGGGGAAACCCUGAUCCAGCGACGCCGCGUGAGUGAAGAAGUAUUUCGGUAUGUAAAGCUCUAUCAGCAGGGAAGAAAAUGACGGUACCUGACUAAGAAGCCCCGGCUAACUACGUG